AUUGAACGCUGGCGGCAGGCCUAACACAUGCAAGUCGAACGAGUGGCGGACGGGUGAGUAAUGUCUGGGAAACUGCCCGAUGGAGGGGGAUCACUACUGGAAACGGUAGCUAAUCCCGCAUACCCUCCGCUGUGCCCAGAUGGGAUUAGCUAGUAGGUGAGGUAACGGCUCACCUAGGCGACGAACCCUAGCUGGCCUGAGAGGAUGACCAGACACACUGGAACUGAGACACGGUCCAGACUCCUACGGGAGGCAGCAUUGGGGAAUAUUGCACAAUGGGCGAAAGCCUGAUGCAGCCAUGCCUCGUGUAUGAAGAAGGCCUUCGGGUUGUAAAGUACUUUCAGCGGGGAGGCGUUACUCGCAGAAGAAGCACCGGCUAACUCCGUGCCAGCAGCCGCGGUAAUUC
Molecule: ribosomal RNA, 406 nt
Filed under: uncultured bacterium
Lineage: Bacteria
Description: partial 16S ribosomal RNA
Rfam family: Bacterial small subunit ribosomal RNA
Source: RNAcentral